GAUGAAGAACGUAGCGAAAUGCGAUAAGUAAUGUGAAUUGCAGAAUUCAGUGAAUCAUCGAAUCUUUGAACGCACAUUGCGCCCGCCAGUAUUCUGGCGAGCAUGCCUGUUCGAGCGUCAUUUCAACCAUCAAGCCCCAGGCUUGUGUUGGAGCCCUGCGGCUGCCGCAGCCUCCCAAAACCAGUGGCGGGCUCGCUAUCACACCGAGUGCAGUAGUUUACUCUUCGCUCAGGGCGUGUGGCGGGUGCUAGCCGUGAAACCCCCAACUUCUCAAGGUUGACCUCGGAUCAGGUAGGAAUACCCGCUGAACUUAAGCAUAUCAUAAGCGGAGGA
RNAcentral lists this unclassified non-coding RNA (333 nucleotides) under soil metagenome. RNAcentral's name for it is "partial contains 5.8S ribosomal RNA, internal transcribed spacer 2, and large subunit ribosomal RNA". The stretch from base 1 to 120 matches the Rfam family "5.8S ribosomal RNA", at positions 35 to 154 of the family's 154-position model. The record is from RNAcentral.